UACAGAGGGUGCAAGCGUUAAUCGGAAUUACUGGGCGUAAAGGGCGCGUAGGCGGAUAAUUAAGUGAGCAGUGAAAUCCCCGGGCUUAACCUGGGCAUGGCGACUUAUACUGGUUAUCUGGAGUAUGGCAGAGGGUAGUGGAAUUUCCGGUGUAGCGGUGAAAUGCGUAGAUAUCGGAAGGAACACCAGUGGCGAAGGCGGCUACCUGGACCAAUACUGACGCUGAGGCGCGAGAGCGUGGGGAGCAAACAGG
This 253-nucleotide ribosomal RNA is filed under the name uncultured bacterium. RNAcentral's name for it is "partial 16S ribosomal RNA". It matches the Rfam family "Bacterial small subunit ribosomal RNA", at positions 524 to 776 of the family's 1533-position model. The record is from RNAcentral.